This 451-nucleotide ribosomal RNA is filed under the name uncultured bacterium. RNAcentral's name for it is "bacterial SSU rRNA". It matches the Rfam family "Bacterial small subunit ribosomal RNA", at positions 29 to 524 of the family's 1533-position model. The record is from RNAcentral.
AACGAACGCUGGCGGCAUGCCUAACACAUGCAAGUCGAACGAGACCUUCGGGUCUAGUGGCGCACGGGUGCGUAACGCGUGGGAAUCUGCCCUUGGGUUCGGAAUAACAGUUAGAAAUGACUGCUAAUACCGGAUAAUGUCUUCGGACCAAAGAUUUAUCGCCCAGGGAUGAGCCCGCGUAGGAUUAGCUAGUUGGUGAGGUAAAGGCUCACCAAGGCGACGAUCCUUAGCUGGUCUGAGAGGAUGAUCAGCCACACUGGGACUGAGACACGGCCCCAGACUCCUACGGGAGGCAGCAGUGGGGAAUAUUGGACAAUGGGCGAAAGCCUGAUCCAGCAAUGCCGCGUGAGUGAUGAAGGCCUUAGGGUUGUAAAGCUCUUUUACCCGGGAUGAUAAUGACAGUACCGGGAGAAUAAGCCCCGGCUAACUCCGUGCCAGCAGCCGCGGUAAU